RNAcentral lists this ribosomal RNA (403 nucleotides) under uncultured Eubacteriales bacterium. Its description in RNAcentral is "bacterial SSU rRNA". It matches the Rfam family "Bacterial small subunit ribosomal RNA", at positions 356 to 774 of the family's 1533-position model. The record is from RNAcentral. Lineage: Bacteria; Bacillati; Bacillota; Clostridia; Eubacteriales.
GGGGAAUAUUGCGCAAUGGGGGAAACCCUGACGCAGCAAUACCGCGUGAGUGAAGAAGGUUUUCGGAUCGUAAAGCUCUGGUAUUGGGGAAGAAAAAAAGACGGUACCCAAGAAGAAAGUCCCGGCUAACUACGUGCCAGCAGCCGCGGUAAUACGUAGGGAGCAAGCGUUGUCCGGAAUUACUGGGUGUAAAGGGAGCGUAGGCGGAAUGGAAAGUUGAAUGUUAAAUCCAUCGGCUUAACUUGGGGACUGCAUUUGAAACUGGAUAUCUAGAGUGCAGGAGAGGAAAGCGGAAUUCCUAGUGUAGCGGUGAAAUGCGUAGAGAUUAGGAAGAACACCAGUGGCGAAGGCGGCUUUCUGGACUGUAACUGACACUGAGGCACGAAAGCGUGGGGAGCAAACA